GACGAACGCUGGCGGCGUGCCUAAUACAUGCAAGUCGAACGCAGUGGGGACGGGUGAGUAACACGUGGGUAACCUCCCAUCAGAGGGGAUAACACUUGGAAACGGUGGCUAAACCGAUACUAUCGGAUGAACCCAUAGGGGUUUAGCUAGUUGGUGAGGUAACGGCUCACCAAGGCCACGAUGCAUAGCCGACCUGAGAGGGGGAUCGGCCACACUGGAACUGAGACACGGCCCAGACUCCUACGGGAGGCAGCAGUAGGGAAUCUUCGGCAAUGGACGAAAGUCUGACCGAGCAACGCCGCGUGAGUGAAGAAGGUUUUCGGAUCGUAAAACUCUGUUGUUAGAGAAGCGGUAUCUAACCAGAAAGCCACGGCUAACUACGUGCCAGCAGCCGCGGUAAUUC
This 403-nucleotide ribosomal RNA is filed under the name uncultured bacterium. RNAcentral describes it as "partial 16S ribosomal RNA". It matches the Rfam family "Bacterial small subunit ribosomal RNA", at positions 28 to 526 of the family's 1533-position model. The record is from RNAcentral.